GAUGAACGCUGGCGGCGUGCCUAUUACAUGCAAGUCGAGCGAACAGACGAGGAGCUUGCUCCUCUGACGUUAGCGGCGGACGGGUGAGUAACACGUGGAUAACCUACCUAUAAGACUGGGAUACUUCGGGAAACCGGAGCUAAUACCGGAUAAUAUAUUGAACCGCAUGGUUCAAUAGUGAAAGACGGUUUUGCUGUCACUUAUAGAUGGAUCCGCGCCGCAUUAGCUAGUUGGUAAGGUAACGGCUUACCAAGGCGACGAUGCGUAGCCGACCUGAGAGGGUGAUCGGCCACACUGGAACUGAGACACGGUCCAGACUCCUACGGGAGGCAGCAGUAGGGAAUCUUCCGCAAUGGGCGAAAGCCUGACGGAGCAACGCCGCGUGAGUGAUGAAGGUCUUCGGAUCGUAAAACUCUGUUAUUAGGGAAGAACAAAUGUGUAAGUAACUAUGCACGUCUUGACGGUACCUAAUCAGAAAGCCACGGCUAACUACGUG
This 496-nucleotide ribosomal RNA is filed under the name uncultured bacterium. RNAcentral's name for it is "partial 16S ribosomal RNA". It matches the Rfam family "Bacterial small subunit ribosomal RNA", at positions 28 to 507 of the family's 1533-position model. The record is from RNAcentral.